UGUGGGAGCGGGCUUGCCCGCGAUUGCAAUGUGUCAGCCAACAUCCUCGGUGACUGAUACACCGCGAUCGCGGGCAAGCCCGCUCCCACA
This 90-nucleotide non-coding RNA is filed under the name Pseudomonas tolaasii NCPPB 2192. The record is from RNAcentral. Lineage: Bacteria; Pseudomonadati; Pseudomonadota; Gammaproteobacteria; Pseudomonadales; Pseudomonadaceae.